GCGACUGUGGUGUAGCGGUAACACAGCGUGCAUGGACGUCAAUACAGCUUCAAUGACACAUCUCGCAGACCCCAGGUUCGACUCCUGGCAGUUGCU
Marasmius sp. AFHP31 is the source of this 96-nucleotide non-coding RNA. NCBI's taxonomy places the organism in Eukaryota, Fungi, Basidiomycota, Agaricomycetes, Agaricales, Marasmiaceae. The record is from the annotation of a GenBank genome assembly.